UACGUAGGUGGCAAGCGUUACUCGGAAUCACUAGGCGUAAAGCGCAGGUAGGCGGUUCGGUAAGUCUCUUGUGAAAGCUCCCGGCUCAACUGGGAGAGGUCAAGGGAAACUGCCGGGCUAGAGUGUGGCAGAGGAAGCUGGAAUUCCCGGUGUAGCGGUGAAAUGCGUAGAGAUCGGGAGGAAUACCUAUGGCGAAAGCAGGCUUCUGGGCCAUCACUGACACUGAUCUGCGAAAGCUAGGGGAGCAAACAGG
RNAcentral lists this ribosomal RNA (253 nucleotides) under uncultured bacterium. Its description in RNAcentral is "partial 16S ribosomal RNA". It matches the Rfam family "Bacterial small subunit ribosomal RNA", at positions 524 to 776 of the family's 1533-position model. The record is from RNAcentral.